UACGAGGGGGGCAAAUGUUGUUCGGAAUCACUGGGCGUAAAGGGAGCGUAGGCGGGUUUCUAAGUCAGGUGUUUAAUCCCGGGGCCCAACCCCGGACAGGCACUUGAAACUGGGAAUCUUGAAUAGUGGAGAGGUCAGUGGAAUUGGGGGUGUAGCGGUGGAAUGCGUAGAGAUCCCCAAGAACACCAGUUGCGAAGGCGGCUGACUGGACAAAUAUUGACGCUGAGGCUCGAAAGCAUGGGGAGCAAACAGG
Molecule: ribosomal RNA, 253 nt
Filed under: uncultured bacterium
Lineage: Bacteria
Description: partial 16S ribosomal RNA
Rfam family: Bacterial small subunit ribosomal RNA
Source: RNAcentral